This 26-nucleotide ribosomal RNA is filed under the name Rhizoctonia solani. RNAcentral describes it as "partial 28S ribosomal RNA". The record is from RNAcentral. Lineage: Eukaryota; Fungi; Basidiomycota; Agaricomycetes; Cantharellales; Ceratobasidiaceae.
AUUGACUUGGACAAUAAAAUAAUUAU